Molecule: ribosomal RNA, 491 nt
Filed under: uncultured bacterium
Lineage: Bacteria
Description: partial 16S ribosomal RNA
Rfam family: Bacterial small subunit ribosomal RNA
Source: RNAcentral
AGUGAACGCUGGCGGUAGGCCUAACACAUGCAAGUCGAACGGCAGCACAGUAAGAGCUUGCUCUUACGGGUGGCGAGUGGCGGACGGGUGAGGAAUACAUCGGAAUCUACUUUUUCGUGGGGGAUAACGUAGGGAAACUUACGCUAAUACCGCAUACGACCUACGGGUGAAAGCAGGGGAUCUUCGGACCUUGCGCGAUUGAAUGAGCCGAUGUCGGAUUAGCUAGUUGGCGGGGUAAAGGCCCACCAAGGCGACGAUCCGUAGCUGGUCUGAGAGGAUGAGCAGCCACACUGGAACUGAGACACGGUCCAGACUCCUACGGGAGGCAGCAGUGGGGAAUAUUGGACAAUGGGCGCAAGCCUGAUCCAGCCAUACCGCGUGGGUGAAGAAGGCCUUCGGGUUGUAAGGCCCUUUUGUUGGGAAAGAAAAUCAGCAGGUUAAUACCCCGCUGUGCUGACGGUACCCAAAGAAUAAGCACCGGCUAACUUCGU